UACGGAGGGAGCUAGCGUUGUUCGGAAUUACUGGGCGUAAAGCGCACGUAGGCGGUUAUUCAAGUCAGAGGUGAAAGCCCGGGGCUCAACCCCGGAACUGCCUUUGAAACUAGAUGACUAGAAUCUUGGAGAGGUCAGUGGAAUUCCGAGUGUAGAGGUGAAAUUCGUAGAUAUUCGGAAGAACACCAGUGGCGAAGGCGACUGACUGGACAAGUAUUGACGCUGAGGAGCGAAAGCGUGGGGAGCGAACAGG
RNAcentral lists this ribosomal RNA (253 nucleotides) under uncultured bacterium. Its description in RNAcentral is "partial 16S ribosomal RNA". It matches the Rfam family "Bacterial small subunit ribosomal RNA", at positions 524 to 776 of the family's 1533-position model. The record is from RNAcentral.